GAUGAACGCUGGCGGCGUGCCUAAUACAUGCAAGUCGAGCGAACAGACGAGGAGCUUGCUCCUCUGACGUUAGCGGCGGACGGGUGAGUAACACGUGGAUCACCUACCUAUAAGACUGGGAUAACUUCGGGAAACCGGAGCUAAUACCGGAUAAUAUAUUGAACCGCAUGGUUCAAUAGUGAAAGACGGUUUUGCUGUCACUUAUAGAUGGAUCCGCGCCGCAUUAGCUAGUUGGUAAGGUAACGGCUUACCAAGGCAACGAUGCGUAGCCGACCUGAGAGGGUGAUCAGCCACACUGGAACUGAGACACGGUCCAGACUCCUACGGGAGGCAGCAGUAGGGAAUCUUCCGCAAUGGGCGAAAGCUUGACGGAGCAACGCCGCGUGAGUGAUGAAGGUCUUCGGAUCGUAAAACUCUGUUAUUAGGGAAGAACAAAUGUGUAAGUAACUAUGCACGUCUUGACGGUACCUAAUCAGAAAGCCACGGCUAACUACGUG
RNAcentral lists this ribosomal RNA (497 nucleotides) under uncultured bacterium. RNAcentral describes it as "partial 16S ribosomal RNA". It matches the Rfam family "Bacterial small subunit ribosomal RNA", at positions 28 to 507 of the family's 1533-position model. The record is from RNAcentral.